GUUGCUAGUGCCUUCCAACACGGCUGUUGUGUUUGCAGAGAGAUCAACGGCACCUGGUCUUGAGUCUGAAUGCCUGAUCAGUCUGAAUUCAGAAACGAUCCCUGAAACUUCAAACGGCAGAACAGCGGGAGACAAGACUGCAUGGCCGAAUACCAUUCUGAAUUCUGGAAUUCUCAAGUGCCGGUGGCUGCUGCGUAACAACAACUCCUGUAAGAAAAGUAUUUCCCAUUGCAGAGUAGGAAAGUUCAGCUCACCUAUACUUAACCACCCUGUCGUCCU
RNAcentral lists this long non-coding RNA (279 nucleotides) under Setaria italica (foxtail millet). RNAcentral describes it as "long non-coding RNA (SITA_LNC000913)". Lineage: Eukaryota; Viridiplantae; Streptophyta; Magnoliopsida; Poales; Poaceae. The record is from RNAcentral.